GACGAACGCUGGCGGCGUGCCUAAUACAUGCAAGUAGAACGCUGAAGGAGGAGCUUGCUUCUCUGGAUGAGUUGCGAACGGGUGAGUAACGCGUAGGUAACCUGCCUGGUAGCGGGGGAUAACUAUUGGAAACGAUAGCUAAUACCGCAUAAUAGUAGAUGUUGCAUGACAUUUGCUUAAAAGGUGCAAUUGCAUCACUACCAGAUGGACCUGCGUUGUAUUAGCUAGUUGGUGAGGUAACGGCUCACCAAGGCAACGAUACAUAGCCGACCUGAGAGGGUGAUCGGCCACACUGGGACUGAGACACGGCCCAGACUCCUACGGGAGGCAGCAGUAGGGAAUCUUCGGCAAUGGGGGGAACCCUGACCGAGCAACGCCGCGUGAGUGAAGAAGGUUUUCGGAUCGUAAAGCUCUGUUGUAAGAGAAGAACGAGUGUGAGAGUGGAAAGUUCACACUG
RNAcentral lists this ribosomal RNA (457 nucleotides) under Streptococcus mitis. Its description in RNAcentral is "bacterial SSU rRNA". It matches the Rfam family "Bacterial small subunit ribosomal RNA", at positions 28 to 471 of the family's 1533-position model. The record is from RNAcentral. Lineage: Bacteria; Bacillati; Bacillota; Bacilli; Lactobacillales; Streptococcaceae.